This 460-nucleotide ribosomal RNA is filed under the name uncultured bacterium. RNAcentral describes it as "partial 16S ribosomal RNA". It matches the Rfam family "Bacterial small subunit ribosomal RNA", at positions 338 to 795 of the family's 1533-position model. The record is from RNAcentral.
CCUACGGGUGGCAGCAGUGAGGAAUAUUGGUCAAUGGACGGAAGUCUGAACCAGCCAUGUCGCGUGCAGGAAGACGGCCCUAUGAGUUGUAAACUGCUUUUGUACAAGGGUAAACCUGAAUACGUGUGUUCAGCUGAAAGUACUGUACGAAUAAGGAUCGGCUAACUCCGUGCCAGCAGCCGCGGUAAUACGGAGGAUCCAAGCGUUAUCCGGAUUUAUUGGGUUUAAAGGGUGCGUAGGUGGAUUGAUAAGUUAGAUGUGAAAUGUUGGGGCUCAACCGGGGAAUUGCCCUUAAUACUGUUGAUCUAGAGUAUAGAUGAGGUAGGCGGAAUGUAUGGUGUAGCGGUGAAAUGCUUAGAGAUCAUGCAGAACACCGAUUGCGAAGGCAGCUUACCAAACUAUAUCUGACGUUGAGGCUCGAAAGCGUGGGUAGCAAACAGGAUUAGAUACCCCUGUAGUC